CAGCCGCCACGGGAAUACGUAGGGCGCAAGCGUUAUCCGGAAUUAUUGGGCGUAAAGAGCUCGUAGGCGGUUUGUCGCGUCUGCCGUGAAAGUCCGGGGCUCAACCCCGGAUCUGCGGUGGGUACGGGCAGACUAGAGUGAUGUAGGGGAGACUGGAAUUCCUGGUGUAGCGGUGAAAUGCGCAGAUAUCAGGAGGAACACCGAUGGCGAAGGCAGGUCUCUGGGCAUUAACUGACGCUGAGGAGCGAAAGCAUGGGGAGCGAACAGGAUUAGAUACCCGCGUAGUCCCUGUCUCUUAUAC
Molecule: ribosomal RNA, 301 nt
Filed under: uncultured bacterium
Lineage: Bacteria
Description: partial 16S ribosomal RNA
Rfam family: Bacterial small subunit ribosomal RNA
Source: RNAcentral